AUCGAACGCUCGGGGCCCAUUUAAAUUAAAACGGUUUUAACGACUUUCCUGACCUCACCGGUGGCCUCUUCCAAAUGCUCAAAGAGAACAAGCCUGGGUCAGUGACGGUGUUGGAUGCAAGCGAAACAAGUGAGAGUGAUAAGCGACAUGUAGAGAAGACCAAGAGGCUGAACCCAGUCUCAGUUAUGAGGAAAUACAAAAUAUACCAAUCCAAGGAACAAGGAAGGCAUCUAGACUAUGGCAAACAAAUUCUCGAGUACUGCCAAAAACUUAAGUUUUGGAGAAACUGAUUUGGAGACCAAGGUUCUAUUUUAGCCAGCACUAGGCACAACCUAUGAAGCAUCAUGAUGGCACCAGUCUCAAGGUUAUAAAAAACUUCUCAUACCUUGGUUGUGCGCUCUCUGGGGAUGCCACUAUCAAUGAAGAUAUCAAUGCUAGCAUCCAGAAAGCAGGUUCGGCUUACAGCCGACUCCAUGAUAUGUCUGGAAGUAGCAUGAUGCUAAGCUGAAGACUAAAAUCAUACCAUACCUGGCCAUUGUCCUGACCACUUUGCUGUAUGGCGCAGAAUCAUGGAUCUGCCAUUGGCGUUACAUCUAACCUUUGGAAUCAAAGACACCCGAGGUCCAUCAUGAGAGUUUGAUGGCAGGACAAAAUCACAAAUAAUGAGGUCCUUCAUCGUGCUUGGGUUCAGAACAUGCAGACCAUCCUCCAGAAAAUUCAACUUAGAUGGACAGGCCCCAGAUGGAUGGCUAUAGAAUCCUCAAGCAGAUCUUCUAUAGGGAACUGUCUCGGGUCAAAAUGACACCAAGGUGGUCAGUACAAAAGUUGCAAGGACACCCUAAAAAUGAGCCUUACAAACCACUGCAUUGUAGAUCACCUCUUUUGAUAAAACCCUACAGCCAACAAGCCCAUGUGGAGUCAAGCACUGAAAUUCAGUUCAGGCAUGAUUGGGAAAUUUGCAGAUGACACAAAAAUUGGCCGUAGAGUUGAUAGUGAAGAGGAUAGCUGUUGACUCCAGAAUGAUAUCAAUGGUUUGGCUGAGUGGGGGGAAAAGUGGCAAAUG
Carcharodon carcharias (great white shark) is the source of this 1063-nucleotide long non-coding RNA. RefSeq lists it as uncharacterized. NCBI's taxonomy places the organism in Eukaryota, Metazoa, Chordata, Chondrichthyes, Lamniformes, Lamnidae. The transcript is spliced from 3 exons. The record is from RefSeq and is a predicted model, not a curated record.